GUUUCAAGUUCGAAGACAUGCAAGCUUUUGAAGUCAAUCUCAAGGUUGAAAGCUUUUGAAAUCAGAAAAUGUGUUCAAUCUUUGCAGUUCUCCUAGUCUAGCAGGGCUGAAGUAUAGUCAAUUAGGACCUGGGUUUCAAGAGGCAGUUGUUUGUGGGCUUUAUAGAAAUGGGAAGAUAUACGUCCACCCAAAUGAUGAUGAGAUCUUGCAGGAAACUGACAAAGUAUUGCCCAUUUCACCUGUUAAUGGGGGUAAGAAGUCUCCUAUUACUUAUUCGAUGUUAAAGAAAUAAGUGAUGCCAAUCAAAGUUUGGAAGAUGUAGAAAAGGACAGUGACACUCAAUCGCAUGCCUUAAAACAAAGGAAAGAAAACACACAUCCCAAGAGAAGAGGCUCCAAGGCUUCAAACGGGACUCUAGGACCUACAAAAUUUAUAGAUAUUUUUCAAUUUAUGAUAUUUUAUGUAGAUUGUACUAGCUUUGGUGUGCAAUUCACACCAA
Rosa chinensis is the source of this 499-nucleotide long non-coding RNA. RefSeq lists it as uncharacterized. Lineage: Eukaryota; Viridiplantae; Streptophyta; Magnoliopsida; Rosales; Rosaceae. The record is from RefSeq and is a predicted model, not a curated record. The transcript is spliced from 5 exons.